Long non-coding RNA from Marmota monax (woodchuck), 5973 nucleotides. RefSeq lists it as uncharacterized. The transcript is spliced from 2 exons. NCBI's taxonomy places the organism in Eukaryota, Metazoa, Chordata, Mammalia, Rodentia, Sciuridae. The record is from RefSeq and is a predicted model, not a curated record.
GUCCCAGGGUUAACUUAAUUACUAUUAGUACCAUGCAAACACAAGAACAAGAGUUAUGCGAUAGAUGGGGCUAACAGAGGAAACCUGGGAGAUCAAGAGUCUCCAGAAAAACAAUGGUUGAAGAUGAAAGUUCAGAGCCCAUUAGAACUUUGGAAUGACUCUUGAAUGUGGGUAAUGGACACACAGGACAAAUGUAGGAGGUAAGAAGUCAGACUUGUCAGAUGAGACUCAGCACAAUCCACUUUCCCUUUAAUGUCAAAGUGGCCACUCUCGUGAACCUUGUCAAUCAGAAUGGCGCCAUAAGAUCGUGGUCUUUGGAGCUGGGGUUGUGGCUCAGUGGUAGAGUGCUUGCCUCACAUGUGUGAGGCACUGGGUUCGAUUCUCAGCACAUAUAAAUAAAUGAAUAAAAUAAAGGUCCAUCAACAACUAAAAACAUUAAAAAAAAAAAAAAGAUCAAGUUCUUCUCACAAACAUGACAUCUGUGAAGACUGCGUGUUCAAGGGAACUCAGUGAGACUAGAUUCUUCUCAAAGUGCUUCCAGGAAGCAAGAAAGAGGAACUAUGGUAAGAGUCUUGCAGGGAACCCCACAUCUAAUAAAGAGGUAUGAACCUUUACAUCAAAAGAUUCAUCAAGAGUUUAUUAUAUGAAAAUGGGAAGCCUGGGGUUCUGGUCUUGCUUGACCUCUAGCAGGUAAGUCAUUUUACCUUCUCUGGGCCUCAGUUUUCUCACCAGUACUCUGAGUUACCUAAUUAGAGAUUUCUACAUUUCAUACUAGAUCUGAAACAUUUUAAAUUCUUUGAAUUCAUGUUAUUUAUUUUCUUUUUGUUUCCCCCUGCAGUGCUAGAGAUGGAACCCAGGAUCUCAUGCAUACCAAGCAUGUGCUGUUAAUCUGAGCUGCUCCCCCAGCCCCAUACUAUCAUUUCUACAUAGAGCAUUCAAGAUAGUUUAGAGGUUUUGGUCCCAUAAAGCAGCGGAUUGAAAUGUCAGCUCUCCCUCUCCAAUGUGCACUUCAUCCCCUAGCAGAGCAAGGGCUGUUCUUGUGUAUCUACAGGAACACCCACACUUACACAGGCACAGGUGUGGUUGUCCCACGUUACUCCACAGGACCCACAGUGGCCUCGCCCCGUCCCAUCUCAGAACAAACUGUGAGUGAUAACUCGGCGUGUUGCUCCGAGCUUUCCACAAGUCCAAGCUGGCAGUCCUUGAUGCAUUGAGGACCUGGGAAACAUCUGCAGUUUUGUGAUUCUUCCUCGUUUCCAUUCCCACGAUGCUCCCUGUGACUGCUUGGAUCAGAGAAAGGUCGCCGGCUCCAUCUGGCCACCCUGCCCCCCUCCAUUCCCUCCCUCACCACUCUCAUCCCCCCUAAGGAGUUUCUGCCCAUUUUGUCACUUCCACCUGUUCUGACAGGUUCCCCUGCCUGACCCCAAGAUAGCCCUUGGGGACAUUAAUCAUAUAACAGCCGGAGCCGUGAAAGAAACAAGGGUUUGGCUGGAUACUGUUACCGUCUCUGUCACCUACUAAUCAUGUCCUAUGACACAGAAGGGCUUAAUCAGAUGGUCUGCUCUCUCAUUAAUCAUCCUGGGCUCACUCAAACUUAACAGAGAGAUUAAAGUUUAGCUUUGCUGGCUUCCCGUGUCUCCUCCUGUCUCACCCUUUUCUAUAGCAGCGUCACCAGGGAAGGUCUCAAGUUCCUUCUGCUUUGCCAACUGGCGGGGCACUGAAAUGUCGGUGCCUACGAACACCAUGGUGCCCAGGAAGAGAAGGAGGAUUCUGCUUCUUUUCUCCUCUCCCCUGUCCACCACAUCAACCCACACCCAAUCCAGAGAGACGACAAUCAAAACCACAGUUGAUGGGAAGACUGAAAAUCCCAGACCUAUGCCUGUACCGGGGAGUCGAACAAAGAUUUAAAUACAGGAAAAAAUACAAGUCAGGCCUGAGACUGGAGAAGGUGGGGUGUUUCUCCUACUGCUCCAAGAACCAGUGAGUGCUUUUUUUGUGUUUAAACAACAGCAAGGAGAAUUAAAAAAAAAAAAAAAAGAUUUUUUUAAAUGAUUCAUUAAAAUAGGUGUUUGUGGCCCAGUUGGCUGGGAGCAGCUGGGUAACAGAGAAGGCUCCCGCUCUGAGAAUGGCAGCCCAAGAUCAUCCUCUCUCACCACUCCGCUGAAAUGAUAGCCUCAAGCAAGUCAAAAAUAGCCUGAAUCCUUUACAGAAUUCUUUCCAGACCAAAAUAAAAAUGGCAGAAAGGACCCUCCAAAAAUACCCAGUACCGGAGAGCCAGGGUGUAUUUCAGCUCAGCUGAUUCAUUCUUACCCUGCUUGCAAUUCUCUGCCCUUCAAAGGAGAAGAGCAAGUCCUGGCAGAGGCCUUCAGCCAAGGGCCUCUCCCCCAGUAUUGGUUUUGUACUUGCUCGGUGUGCUGUUGACUUUUGCAGCUCUGUACGAUUAUGGGAAACAAGGAUAAUAUUUGCCCUCAGAGCCAGGAAAGAACAAAUAUUUUAUCAACAUCUAAAUCAUCUUUCAUCUAGCAGGGGAGGAGGCGCUGAAUGCCCAGCUGCACACACUGGACAAGGACUAAAAUCUCUCCAAGCCUAAGAAAAUUCAAGCCCAGACAAGGAGAAGCCUCCAGAGGCCCUUUUAAGAGCUGCUUGUCCCUGGACACUCCCUCCUCUCAACUGCAGUUCCCAUCCUUCCCAUAAUUCUAACAACAGAGAAGACCUUGGGGGUGAAUCUGGCAUCUUCUGAGACACUAGAAGAUGACUGUGAAUAUUUCAACUUGAUCUAGGCUGUCCAUUCGGUUCCAAAGAACUCAAGCACUCCACACCACAGGAGACACUCAACUUUUCCUAAGAACUAUCAAAGAAACUGCCAACUAGAAGAUUCAAACUCUUUUUUUUUCACUACCCAUGCAUUCUGCCUAUACUCCAGUUAGCAAGAGAAAGUCAAAGGGGAAAGGCUUCAGUUAAGGAGGUUAAGUCCUCUGGUUUGGAAACUUCUCCAUACCAGCACCCUGCCAAGAUGGUAAUGUGUUGCUUAUUCUCAUGUCAGUUUCCAAGGAUGGGGGCAAAUCUUAAGUGGCAACAUUCUGACAGAUGUAAUCCUUUUUCAAACACAUACCUCCGCUAAUGUAGACAAAUGCAAUGCAAAAAAAAUGGAAACAGCAACCAGAGGAGAAAAACUCUGCCUUCUGUCAACAGCACCCUCAGGCAAGAACACACAGCAAAGCAUUAAGUAAUUUAAUCUCCAAAAGGGAGCCUUCUGGCAUUAAGGCUACUCCGAAGUCCAAGGGGCCAGGCCACACCCUGUGCAAUGAGCAAUGGGCUUAGUGGCCAGGAACCCACAAGCUCAGAUGGAAAGCCAGGGAAAUACCCAGGGCCCAGUGGGUCUUCCCCAGAGCCAAGGCGCUGAAUGCUGCUGACCUGGGGGAUGCCUUCCCUGCAUGGGCCUCAGGUCAGAGGCUGGACAGUUGGAGGCUCUGGGUGGAAGUGCCCCUCCUUCCAUGGCUCUUUGGGAGAUCAGCACAAGAAGCAAGCUGAACCCUGAUGCUAAUCAGGCAGCUUUGAGUGAAGGGUGACGAGGGCCGGCGCCGACUCCACUCUGCCCGCCCAGGCCGCCAUCCUGGCCACAGAUCUCACUUAGCGAUAAGCAGGGGACUGCGCAGGCUCCCUACUACUCUUAUCUUGCAUGCACUGAUGUGCUCAGGAAGAGGGGACCAGGGAACCCUGCUCCCAGAGCCUUAUGGCAGAAGCUGGGGUGCUUUGCCGGGCUCCCUACACCCCCUACUCACCGCUGCAAGGAGACAGAGCCCUCCUUCGCCAGCUCCUCCAAGUCUGCCAACCCCCUCCUCCCUCGGCGUGCUCCCUCAUGCAGCUUUCAUUAACUCCCUCGGCCGGCAAUUUCCAUCCAUUUGACGACAGAUUAGAAGUGGAAUUCAAAAAGAAAGUCACUUGACCUCCCAUAAUGUGCUUCUCUUAAUUACAUUAAAGAUUUUCAAAUGUAGCCAUACUGGGUUUGACAGGUAAGGUUUUAAUCAACUUCAGGUGGCCACUUUUAAGUGCUCCCUGGACUGGAGCCGCAAAGUUGGCGUCACCCACGCUCCCAACGUGGUUCUAAUUUAAAUGGCUAAUUUUGACACGGAGAAAAGAUGAGAGGCCACGGGGCCCCACUGCUUCGGUGGGCGUGAUUUCUAAAUUAGGAUUAAUGCAGCAAGCUGAAGCAUGGUCGCAGGUUUAUUUUAUGGAGGUUGGAGCAAGUAAAUAACAUUUAUCCUUUGUAUACAUCUGCAUAUAAUUACAGCAAAGUUUUCUUGUGUGUUAAAUUAUACAAACUCUUCAAAAGUGGGUGCCUAAUGUCUUUUUCUAAAGCUGUGUUAUUAUUUUGGUCAAAAGUUGUUUACAUUAAACAAAUUCAAUUUACUAAACUUUGACAUGUUUGCACAACUGCAUAUAAUUUAUGCUGGAAGCCUGAAGCAUGACUUUCAAGUGAACUUUCUUGGUUCAAACUUGAUAGAUUAGGCAUUCAAUGUUGAGGGGUGGUGGCUUGCUCCAUCCAGGUUUUGUGGCCAAUUGAACUGAUUUGGUUUUCCUCUCUCAGAAUAUUUUAAUCAUUGGGUAAAUGUGUAUCGAGUAUCCACUGUGGUCCAAAUAUUAAUGCUGGGUCCUGAGGAUAUAAUGGUGUGCAAAAAAAGAUACAGUCCCAGGCUCAAGGAGUUCAAGGAUUAUUUAAGGAAACAGAGAAGCAAAAUAACUUGUGAAGACAGUCUUUAAAUCGCAAAGACAACAAGAAAGUAGCAUCCAUGCUGCUUUGAGGAUUCAUAAACUAGCAGGAUCUGUCUGAGCUUGGGGGAAUGCUGGCCCAGGGAAGUGAUAGCAUGAGCUGAGAACGGGAAAGACAAAGACAAAGUAAAAGGUUAACUUUGGUGGGAUGGAGAAUGUUACCUAGAAGGGACCAAAAAGGUAAGUGGGAGUCUGCAACAGGUACCCUUGUCUGUGAGGUAGCUGGAAAGGGGGUAGUAGGGCCAGGCUCCCCCCCAGGGCAUAGCUUAUUUUAGGAAUACUGUCUUUAUCCAAAUAGCAGGACUAAGUGCAAGGUUUGAAGCAGGGAGCUCAACUUUUUGUUUGUAUUUUGCAAAGAUCUAUUGAAGGGCAGAGUAGAUGGCAGGUCUGAUGGAGUUGGGCUAGUUCAGAGGCUUUAUAGUAAUUUAGAAUUUUUUUUUAUCUGCCCAUAGCUUUUAUUUUAUUUUUUAAUUGAUUUUUUAAAAAAAUAAAUGACAGCGGAAUACAUUACAAUUCUUAUUACACAUAUACGGCACAAUUUUUCAUAUCUCUGUUUAUAUAUAAAGUAUGUUGACGCCAAAUUGUGUCUUCAUACGAGUACUUUGGAUAAUGAUGUCCAUCACAUUCCACCAUCUUUGCUAACCCCCUGCCCCCUCUCUUUCCCUCCCACCCCUCUGCCCUAUCUAGAAACAAAACCCACCCUCCUGAAGUGGUUUGACCUAGGGUGAUGGUAGUACAGAAUGACAGUGGAUAGCUUUGAGGGAUGGUGAGGGGGUGAUGUUGAUGGGAUGUUGAGACAGACUGGUCGACUCCGGUUUCUGACUUGUAAAGCUAUAGGGACCUAGAACCAUCCACUGAGAGCUCAGAGUCUGUUAUGGUUUAGAUGUGAGGUGUGCCCCAGAAAGCUCACAUGUGAGACAAUGCAAGAAGAUCUGGAGGAGAAAUGAUUGGGUUAUAUCCUUAGCAUAAUCAGUGAGCUAAUCCCUGAUAACUGAAGUGGUAGGGUGUGACUGGAGGAGGUGGCAAUUGGGGCGUGGCUUUGGUGUAUAUAUUUGUAUCUGGCAAGUGGAGUCUCUGCUUCCUGAUCACAGUGUUGUGAGCUGCUUCCCUCUGCUCUGCCAUCUUGUCCCGCUAUGGUGUUCAGCCUCAUCUUGAGCCCUGAGAAAACUGUGAGCCCUCAAAUAAACUCUUCCUCCUCUAUAA